This is a non-coding RNA of Oncorhynchus mykiss (rainbow trout), 885 nucleotides long. NCBI's taxonomy places the organism in Eukaryota, Metazoa, Chordata, Actinopteri, Salmoniformes, Salmonidae. The record is from RefSeq and is a predicted model, not a curated record.
CUUCAGUACUUUGUUGAAGCACCUUCCACAGCGAUUACAGCCAAGAGUCUUCUUGGGUACACAAAAAAUUAGGGCUACAACAAGGGUUCUUCUAAGAUCCUAAAAGUUCCUUGAAGAAUCUUAGGGUUAUUGGCUCUGAAAAAUGCCCCCAAAAUGUUCUUCAAGAACCCAAAAGGAGGUGGGGUUCAUUGAGGAACCAACUUAGGUUCCUGCAAGAACACCCACCAACGAACUGCCCAACUGAAACAUUUGGAUUUGAAUUUGAGAUGACAGCAGGUGCAGGCACUUAACUGAACAAUUUUAAGAUCUCAAUGUAAGGUAAGGCUUCUCCCUUGAAUGAUCUAAAUUGAUAUUAUUUUAUGAUCAUACCAUCUAUCUUUUCAUAUUUGGACAAAUGGCAGUGUUUGACACUGUCCAUUUUCUAAAACAGAAAAUGGACACAAUUCAAUGGAUAUCAAUCAACAAUGAGGUAAGAAUAUAUUAAAGGCUAUAGCUGCAUUGGGUGCAGAUGACUGAACUGCUCACUUUUGUAUGUCUGAGUCUGCAGGUAUACAGACCGGGAGGCACACAAAGGUAUGUUUUGCAGAUCACAUGUAUCAUCUACAGUUAAUUUUGUUUUCUCUAAAACCAGAUAGGACUUGGUCACAGCAGCCUCCCUUAUCUCUUCAAUGGAAAUCCCAGAGGCCUCUACAUUAUUUACAAGGAAACCUGUUCGAUCACCAUGCACUGCAAAAUCUGGAUGGAUACGGAGAACAUCAACACAUUAACAUCAACACGCCAGAGGACAUACCCAUUGGACUUGGGGCUCGGCUGGGCGUUUACCUCAUCUUUGGAUUUUUAAAUUCUGCUUUGCCUCUAAAAUAUCAAUAAACACCGACAUCUGAA